RNAcentral lists this unclassified non-coding RNA (336 nucleotides) under soil metagenome. RNAcentral's name for it is "partial contains 5.8S ribosomal RNA, internal transcribed spacer 2, and large subunit ribosomal RNA". The stretch from base 1 to 120 matches the Rfam family "5.8S ribosomal RNA", at positions 35 to 154 of the family's 154-position model. The record is from RNAcentral.
GAUGAAGAACGUAGCGAAAUGUGAUAAGUAAUGUGAAUUGCAGAAUUCCGUGAAUCAUCGAAUCUUUGAACGCACAUUGCGCCCCCUGGUAUUCCGGGGGGCAUGCCUGUCCGAGCGUCAUUGCAACCUUCAAGCGCGGCUUGUGUGUUGGGUCUCGUCCCCCGUGGACGGGCCCGAAAGGCAGUGGCGGCGUCCCGACAUGGUGCCCGAGCGUAUGGGAAUCCUCUUCCGCUCGAAUCGGCCCAUGCGGCGCUGGUCGUAACCAAAUUUUUUACCGGUUGACCUCGGAUCAGGUAGGGAUACCCGCUGAACUUAAGCAUAUCAAUAAGCGGAGGA